GAUAAACGCUGGCGGCGUGCUUAACACAUGCAAGUCGAACGAAGUUUUUCUUUCGGGAGGAACUUAGUGGCGGACGGGUGCGUAACGCGUGGGUAACCUGCCCUGUACAGGGGGACAACAGCUGGAAACGGCUGCUAAUACCGCAUAAGCCCUUAGCACUGCAUGGUGCAUAGGGAAAAGGAGCAAUCCGGUACAGGAUGGACCCGCGUCUGAUUAGCCAGUUGGCAGGGUAACGGCCUACCAAAGCGACGAUCAGUAGCCGAUCUGAGAGGAUGUACGGCCACAUUGGGACUGAGACACGGCCCAGACUCCUACGGGAGGGAGCAGUGGGGAAUAUUGCACAAUGGAGGAAACUCUGAUGCAGCGACGCCGGGUGAGUGAAGAAGUAUGUCGGUAUGUAAAGCUCUAUCAGCAGGAAAGAAAAUGACGGUACCUGACUAAGAAGCACCGGCUAAAUACGUG
This 462-nucleotide ribosomal RNA is filed under the name uncultured bacterium. Its description in RNAcentral is "partial 16S ribosomal RNA". It matches the Rfam family "Bacterial small subunit ribosomal RNA", at positions 28 to 507 of the family's 1533-position model. The record is from RNAcentral.